RNAcentral lists this ribosomal RNA (422 nucleotides) under uncultured bacterium. RNAcentral describes it as "partial 16S ribosomal RNA". It matches the Rfam family "Bacterial small subunit ribosomal RNA", at positions 362 to 776 of the family's 1533-position model. The record is from RNAcentral.
UUUUGGACAAUGGGCGCAAGCCUGAUCCAGCCAUGCCGCGUGAGUGAAGAAGGCAUUCGGGGUGUAAAGCUCUGUCGGACGGAAAGAAAUCGCGCAGGCUAAUACCCUGCGCGGAGUACGGUACAGCCCGAAGAAGCACCGGCUAACUACGUGCCAGCUGCCUCGGUAAUACGUAGGGUGCGAGCGUUAAGCGGAAUUACUGGGCGUAAAGCGUGCGCGUGCGGUUGAUUAAGACAGGCGUGAAAGCCCCAGGACUUACCUGGGAACGGGGCUUGUGACUGGUCAACUAGAGUACAGCAGAGGGGGGUAGAGUUCCACGUGUAGCGGUGAAAUGCGUAGAGAUGUGGAGGAACACCGAUGGCGAACGCAGCCCCCAGGGCCGAUACUGACGCUCAUGCACGAAAGCGUGGGUAGCAAACCGG